RNAcentral lists this ribosomal RNA (465 nucleotides) under uncultured bacterium. RNAcentral describes it as "partial 16S ribosomal RNA". It matches the Rfam family "Bacterial small subunit ribosomal RNA", at positions 28 to 507 of the family's 1533-position model. The record is from RNAcentral.
GACGAACGCUGGCGGCGUGCUUAACACAUGCAAGUCGAACGCUGAACCCGCUUCGGUGGGGGAUGAGUGGCGAACGGGUGAGUAACACGUGGGCAACCUGCCCCCGGCUCUGGGAUAACUCCAAGAAAUUGGGGCUAAUACCGGAUGUGACCGCUGGCCGCAUGGUCUGGUGGUGGAAAGGGUUUCCGGCUGGGGAUGGGCCCGCGGCCUAUCAGCUUGUUGGUGGGGUAGUGGCCUACCAAGGCGACGACGGGUAGCCGGCCUGAGAGGGUGACCGGCCACACUGGGACUGAGACACGGCCCAGACUCCUACGGGAGGCAGCAGUGGGGAAUAUUGCGCAAUGGGCGGAAGCCUGACGCAGCGACGCCGCGUGGGGGAUGACGGCCUUCGGGUUGUAAACCUCUUUCAGCAGGGACGAAGCGCGAGUGACGGUACCUGCAGAAGAAGCACCGGCCAACUACGUG